GGAAUAUUCCACAAUGGGCGAAAGCCUGAUGGAGCGACGCCGCGUGAGUGAAGAAGGGCUUCGGCUCGUAAAGCUCUUUUCUAGAGGACGAAUGGUCUAUUAGAUAGACAGGGACGGUACUCUGGGAAUAAGCCACGGCUAACUACGUGCCAGCAGCCGCGGUAAUACGUAGGUGGCAAGCGUUAUCCGGAUUUAUUGGGCGUAAAGCGAGCGCAGGCGGUUUCUUAAGUCUGAUGUGAAAGCCUUCGGCUUAACCGAAGAAGUGCAUCGGAAACUGGGAAACUUGAGUGCAGAAGAGGACAGUGGAACUCCAUGUGUAGCGGUGAAAUGCGUAGAUAUAUGGAAGAACACCAGUGGCGAAGGCGGCUGUCUGGUCUGUAACUGACGCUGAGGCUCGAAAGCAUGGGUAGCGAACA
RNAcentral lists this ribosomal RNA (416 nucleotides) under uncultured bacterium. Its description in RNAcentral is "bacterial SSU rRNA". It matches the Rfam family "Bacterial small subunit ribosomal RNA", at positions 358 to 774 of the family's 1533-position model. The record is from RNAcentral.